AUCCGGUGCUUGCACCGGGGAUUAGUGGCGAACGGGUGAGUAACACGUGAGUAACCUGCCCUUAACUCUGGGAUAAGCCUGGGAAACUGGGUCUAAUACCGGAUAUGACUCCUCAUCGCAUGGUGGGGGGUGGAAAGCUUUUUGUGGUUUUGGAUGGACUCGCGGCCUAUCAGCUUGUUGGUGAGGUAAUGGCUUACCAAGGCGACGACGGGUAGCCGGCCUGAGAGGGUGACCGGCCACACUGGGACUGAGACACGGCCCAGACUCCUACGGGAGGCAGCAGUGGGGAAUAUUGCACAAUGGGCGCAAGCCUGAUGCAGCGACGCCGCGUGAGGGAUGACGGCCUUCGGGUUGUAAACCUCUUUCAGUAGGGAAGAAGCGAAAGUGACGGUACCUGCAGAAGAAGCGCCGGCUAACUACGUGCCAGCAGCCGCGGUAAUACGUAGGGCGCAAGCGUUAUCCGGAAUUAUUGGGCGUAAAGAGCUCGUAGGCGGUUUGUCGCGUCUGCCGUGAAAGUCCGGGGCUCAACUCCGGAUCUGCGGUGGGUACGGGCAGACUAGAGUGAUGUAGGGGAGACUGGAAUUCCUGGUGUAGCGGUGAAAUGCGCAGAUAUCAGGAGGAACACCGAUGGCGAAGGCAGGUCUCUGGGCAUUAACUGACGCUGAGGAGCGAAAGCAUGGGGAGCGAACAGGAUUAGAUACCCUGGUAGUCCAUGCCGUAAACGUUGGGCACUAGGUGUGGGGGACAU
RNAcentral lists this ribosomal RNA (748 nucleotides) under uncultured Arthrobacter sp. Its description in RNAcentral is "bacterial SSU rRNA". It matches the Rfam family "Bacterial small subunit ribosomal RNA", at positions 71 to 832 of the family's 1533-position model. Lineage: Bacteria; Bacillati; Actinomycetota; Actinomycetes; Micrococcales; Micrococcaceae. The record is from RNAcentral.